UUCCUUGAGAAGUGCCAACACUUAUUAGUGC
RNAcentral lists this non-coding RNA (31 nucleotides) under Rattus norvegicus (Norway rat). Lineage: Eukaryota; Metazoa; Chordata; Mammalia; Rodentia; Muridae. The record is from RNAcentral.